Molecule: long non-coding RNA, 444 nt
Filed under: Ictidomys tridecemlineatus (thirteen-lined ground squirrel)
Lineage: Eukaryota; Metazoa; Chordata; Mammalia; Rodentia; Sciuridae
Description: lncRNA (ENSSTOG00000031613.1)
Source: RNAcentral
UUCUUUUUGCCUUCUUCAAUAUGUCUUUUCUUAUUUCUGUGCUACACCCAGGUGCUGUAAUCUCUCACCUGGUUUCCUUAGCUCUAGUGAAGGUAUUUUCAUGCGUGGAUAGUUCAAAUUGAUGUUUCUACGGGGGGACAAGUGCUGGAAAGCCCUAUUCUGCCAUCUUGCUGACGUCCGGACUCCCAAGGAGCUAACCUAUAGGUACUGUGAUGAUUCUUCAAGUUGGGGAUACACCACAGUUAAGGGGAAAGGCUGCUGCCAGGAGUUACUUCAUUUUCAGAGUGUAUUAUUUAUGUAUGAGAUAUGUUCAACAUGUUCUAUGUCUUAGAAGUGCUCCAAGUCAGAAUAUGUUGCUUUUGAAACACAGUAUGGAGAACAUCUACCUGUACUAGACCUGAAGGUAAAUGUGUAGAUGUGAGUAUCCUAAAAUAUACAUAUGAC